AUGGCUCGGGUGAGGAUUGAGGAUGUGGGAAAAGGUUACUUUGAUGAGCUAGUCAACCGAAGCAUGAUUCAACCAUCAAGAAGGAACGUAGAAGGAAUUGUUAAGAGCUGCCAUGUCCACGAUAUCAUGCGUGAUGUCAUGGUCUCAAUUUCCCAACAUGAAAGUCUCGUGUACUUGGCACAAGAUAAUGUAACUAGUGUCACAGAGGAGACCUUCCGACAUUUCUCACCUUGGGUUGAUCCUAGUGAGCGCACCAAGGCAGUUGCAGAGCUACAUAUGGCUUGGUCUAGCUGUUGGUCAAAGUCAGCUGGUGUGAGGGUGCCAAAAGGAAUCGCCAAACUGAAAGAGCUUCAAGUACUAGAGGUCGUGGACAUCCGCCGAACUAGUCGCCAAGCAAUUAAAAGAGCUAGGUGA
Molecule: ribosomal RNA, 414 nt
Filed under: Triticum aestivum (bread wheat)
Lineage: Eukaryota; Viridiplantae; Streptophyta; Magnoliopsida; Poales; Poaceae
Description: partial small subunit ribosomal RNA
Source: RNAcentral